UCUAAUAUGGCAGAUAAGUGCGGUAGAUUUAAGUUCUACAUAUAAAGUUUAACCUUUUAUUAGAA
RNAcentral lists this transfer RNA (65 nucleotides) under Xizicus howardi. RNAcentral's name for it is "tRNA-Leu". The record is from RNAcentral. Lineage: Eukaryota; Metazoa; Arthropoda; Insecta; Orthoptera; Tettigoniidae.